CAGCAGCUCAAGUGGUGGUCACGUUUAUUGGGCUUAAAGCGUCCGUAGUCUGUCUUGCAAGUCCUCUGUGAAAUCCUGCAGCUUAACUGUAGGAAGUGCAGAGGAUACUACAAGGCUUGAGGCCGGGAGGGGAGUGGGGUAUUCCGUGGGUACCGGUGAAAUGGUAUAAUCCAUGGAAGACCACCUGUGGCGAAGGCGCCACUCUAGAACGGGCCUGACGAUGAGGGACGAAAGCCAGGGGAGCGAACCGGAUUAGAUACCCGAGUAGUCC
This 271-nucleotide ribosomal RNA is filed under the name uncultured archaeon. Its description in RNAcentral is "partial 16S ribosomal RNA". It matches the Rfam family "Archaeal small subunit ribosomal RNA", at positions 477 to 747 of the family's 1478-position model. The record is from RNAcentral.